UGCCUAGCUUAGCAUUUGCAUAAGUAAGGCACAGGACUCUGCAUGAAGGGGUCAUCUUUAGAAUUCUGCGCACCACAGCUACCAACCUGGAAGCACUUUAGUCCCCUCUGGGGGUCCCGGAUGAAUGUGGAGGUCUCCAUGUUCCAGAGAUGGAUGCAGGUUCCCAGGUACUGCUACAAGGCUGAUGGAGAAAGGGAUGGCAACAGGAGCGUCAGACAAAGAAGCUCAUUCUAUAGACCCAGCAGGGCCAGCACUGACCAACAGAUGACCAGGCAAUUUGAAAGGAAGAGAGGAUUUAGGCGCCAUACUCAAGGUUACCUGGGUAAGAAAUGAUGGAGCAAGAAUGUCACCCAUGGGACCACACCCCUGAAUCUAUAAAUUGGAGUGUUUCUGCAAAUUCUAAGAGGUUCUUAACAUUAUCCAGAAUGGUGCCCUGGUGGACGAUCAUGCACCUUG
RNAcentral lists this long non-coding RNA (456 nucleotides) under Homo sapiens (human). RNAcentral's name for it is "HSALNT0337131". Lineage: Eukaryota; Metazoa; Chordata; Mammalia; Primates; Hominidae. The record is from RNAcentral.